This 387-nucleotide ribosomal RNA is filed under the name uncultured bacterium. RNAcentral's name for it is "bacterial SSU rRNA". It matches the Rfam family "Bacterial small subunit ribosomal RNA", at positions 30 to 416 of the family's 1533-position model. The record is from RNAcentral.
AUUGAACGCUGGCGGCAUGCCUUACACAUGCAAGUCGAACGGCAGCGCGGGGCAACCUGGCGGCGAGUGGCGAACGGGUGAGUAAUAUAUCGGAACAUACCCUAGAGUGGGGGAUAACGUAGCGAAAGUUACGCUAAUACCGCAUACGCACUAAGGUGGAAAGUGGGGGGAUUCGCAAGAACCUCAUGCUCAUGGAGUGGCCGAUAUCUGAUUAGCUAGUUGGUGAGGUAAAGGCUCACCAAGGCAACGAUCAGUAGCUGGUUUGAGAGAACGACCAGCCACACUGGAACUGAGACACGGUCCAGACUCCUACGGAGGCAGCAGUGGGAAUUUUGGGACAAUGGGGGCGAACCCUGAUCCAGCAAUGCCGCGUGAGUGAAGAAGGCC